AUACUUUCUGUGCUACGGUUUCAAAGACAAGAAAGCUUAUCGCUUCUUCCUAUGGAUGGUACUACCGGUGCUGCCAUGCAUGCACCAAAGCUGCGCGUGGUGAUAUACCUCCAUAUGAAUGUGAUAAUCGCCAUUUGAUUGAAGCGGAAAUCUAUAAGUAUAAGAUUGAAGUUGAAGCUUUCCAUCUUGACACGUCUUGCAAAUUGAUUUUCUAGGACAGGGAAUGCAACCAAAUCUUAGGUAUUUCAGCUGCUCAAAUGUGCGACACAAUGAUACAGGAUGGUAUCACAGAUCCGUUGGAAUUUCCAUUAAAUCUUGAUGCAAUGUUAGACUUGGAUCUGGCUUUAAGAGUUAGAUGGCAGCCCAGUUGGGACAGCUGCUCUGUUAUUAUGUUUGUAGAUGACAAACCGUUUGUUAAACAGUUCGGCACUCCUUGGGAGCCUACAUAAGUAACACUUGACCAACAACUCCAACUUCCUUACUAUUUACAUCCUCCUCCUCUUAUGCUGAAUGUAUUUAUCUCUAAAAGGCUAACGUCACGAUUUCUGAACCCUCCGGAACAAAGCUGCCAGUCCAGAUAAAAGAGAGCGUUGAUGAAGCUAAUACUGUUGCUGCUGAUGAUUGUGACAUUAUUACGAAUCUAGAGAUAACAUCCAGACAUAACCCCGAUCCGCAAACAUCCACUGCAAAAAGGCAAAACCACGAUGGCUCAAGCGAAUCGACGACCGUGUGUGAUGGAGAACUUUCUUCGACAAAACUUAAAAAGAUCAUUAAGUUGGAGAAGAACAAAUAGUUGUAUUCCUGUACUGACACAUCUUUUUGUAUUGGCAUGUACUAUUUUGAUACCGUGUUAUAUGCUGCUAUUUGCGAAGCCUAUUUAGUAUUAAAUGAUAGGAUUAUACUCACUGUGUAAUUCGUAUUUUGGGAAGCUUAAAACUCUAUCUUAAUUGCUAAUCAUCUUAAGUCAUUUCUUUUACAUUA
Molecule: long non-coding RNA, 981 nt
Organism: Vicia villosa (hairy vetch)
Lineage: Eukaryota; Viridiplantae; Streptophyta; Magnoliopsida; Fabales; Fabaceae
Exons: 5
Source: RefSeq, a predicted model, not a curated record